RNAcentral lists this ribosomal RNA (845 nucleotides) under uncultured marine group I thaumarchaeote. RNAcentral's name for it is "SSU rRNA". It matches the Rfam family "Archaeal small subunit ribosomal RNA", at positions 27 to 879 of the family's 1478-position model. The record is from RNAcentral. Lineage: Archaea; Thermoproteati; Nitrososphaerota.
CUGCUAUCGGAUGAUACUAAGCCAUGCGAGUCUUUGUAGUAAUACAAGGCAGACGGCUCAGUAACACGUAGUCAACCUACCCUAUGGACAAGAAUAAUCUCGGGAAACUGGGCAUAAUUCUUGAUAGAUCAUAAUGCCUGGAAUGGUUUAUGGUUAAAAUGAUUCGUCGCCAUAGGAUGGGACUGCGGCCUAUCAGCUUGUUGGUGAGGUAAUGGCCCACCAAGGCGAUUACAGGUACGGGCUCUGAGAGGAGAAGCCCGGAGAUGGGUACUGAGACACGGACCCAGGCCCUAUGGGGCGCAGCAGGCGAGAAAACUUUGCAAUGUGCGAAAGCACGACAAGGUUAAUCCGAGUGAUUUCUGCUAAAGAAAUCUUUUGCCAGUCAUAAAACCACUGGUGAAUAAGGGGUGGGCAAGUUCUGGUGUCAGCCGCCGCGGUAAAACCAGCACCUCAAGUGGUCAGGAUGAUUAUUGGGCCUAAAGCAUCCGUAGCCGGCUUUGUUAGUUUUCGGUUAAAUCCAUGUGCUCAACACAUGGGCUGCCGAAAAUACUGCAUAGCUAGGGAGUGGGAGAGGUAGACGGUACUCAGUAGGAAGGGGUAAAAUCCUUUGAUCUAUUGAUGACCACCUGUGGCGAAGGCGGUCUACCAGAACACGUUCGACGGUGAGGGAUGAAAGCUGGGGGAGCAAACCGGAUUAGAUACCCGGGUAGUCCCAGCUGUAAACGAUGCAGACUCGAUGAUGCAUUGGCAUAAUAGCCAGUGCAGUGUCGCAGGGAAGCCGUUAAGUCUGCCGCCUGGGAAGUACGUACGCAAGUAUGAAACUUAAGGAAUUGGCGGGGGAGCAC